GACGAACGCUGGCGGCGUGCUUAACACAUGCAAGUCGAACGGAAAGGCCCUGCUUUUGUGGGGUGCUCGAGUGGCGAACGGGUGAGUAACACGUGAGUAACCUGCCCUUGACUUUGGGAUAACUUCAGGAAACUGGGGCUAAUACCGGAUAGGAGCUCCUGCUGCAUGGUGGGGGUUGGAAAGUUUCGGCGGUUGGGGAUGGACUCGCGGCUUAUCAGCUUGUUGGUGGGGUAGUGGCUUACCAAGGCUUUGACGGGUAGCCGGCCUCAGAGGGUGACCGGCCACAUUGGGACUGAGAUACGGCACAGACUCCUACGGGAGGCAGCAGUGGGGAAUAUUGCACAAUGGGCGGAAGCCUGAUGCAGCAACGCCGCGUGCGGGAUGACGGCCUUCGGGUUGUAAACCGCUUUCGCCUGUGACGAAGCGUGAGUGACGGUAAUGGGUAAAGAAGCACCGGCUAACUACGUG
RNAcentral lists this ribosomal RNA (468 nucleotides) under uncultured bacterium. Its description in RNAcentral is "partial 16S ribosomal RNA". It matches the Rfam family "Bacterial small subunit ribosomal RNA", at positions 28 to 507 of the family's 1533-position model. The record is from RNAcentral.